GAUGAACGCUAGCUACAGGCUUAACACAUGCAAGUCGAGGGGCAGCAUGGUCUUAGCUUGCUAAGGCCGAUGGCGACCGGCGCACGGGUGAGUAACACGUAUCCAACCUGCCGAUAACUCGGGGAUAGCCUUUCGAAAGAAAGAUUAAUAUCCGAUAGUAUAUUAAAACCGCAUGGUUUUACUAUUAAAGAAUUUCGGUUAUCGAUGGGGAUGCGUUCCAUUAGUUUGUUGGCGGGGUAACGGCCCACCAAGACUACGAUGGAUAGGGGUUCUGAGAGGAAGGUCCCCCCACAUUGGAACUGAGACACGGUCCAAACUCCUACGGGAGGCAGCAGUGAGGAAUAUUGGUCAAUGGGACGAGAGUCUGAACCAGCCAAGUAGCGUGAAGGAUGACUGCCCUAUGGGUUGUAAACUUCUUUUAUAUGGGAAUAAAGUUUUCCACGUGUGGAAUUUUUGUAUGUACCAUAUGAAAUAAGGAUCGGCUAAACUCCGUGCCAGC
This 499-nucleotide ribosomal RNA is filed under the name uncultured bacterium. RNAcentral's name for it is "bacterial SSU rRNA". It matches the Rfam family "Bacterial small subunit ribosomal RNA", at positions 28 to 512 of the family's 1533-position model. The record is from RNAcentral.